AUGAACGCUGGCGGUAUGCUUAACACAUGCAAGUCGAACGAAAGCUUUAUGCUUUAGUGGCGAACGGGUGCGUAAUACGUGAGAAUCUGCCCUUAGGAGGAGAAUAACUUCUGGAAACGGUUGCUAAGUCUCCAUCUAAAGGUGGGGAUCUUCGGACCUGCCGCUUCAUGAUAAGCCCGCGGCCUAUCAGCUUGUUGGUGAGGUAAAAGCUCACCAAGGCUAAGACGGGUAACUGGUCUGAGAGGACGGUCGGUCACACUGGAACUGAGACACGGUCCAGACACCUACGGGUGGCAGCAGUCGAGAAUCAUUCACAAUGGGCGAAAGCCUGAUGGUGCGACGCCGCGUGGGGGAUGAAGUGCUUCGGUAUGUAAACCCCUGUCAUCUGCGAGCAAACCUUUUCGGUUAACACCUGGAAAGCUGAUAGUAGCAGAAGAGGAAGGGACGGCUAACUCUGUGCCAGCAGCCGCGGUAAUACAGAGGUCCCAAGCGUUGUUCGGAUUCACUGGGCGUAAAGGGUGCGUAGGCGGCAUGGCAAGUUUGGUGUGAAAGCUCCGAGCUCAACUCGGAAAUUGCACUGAAAACUGCCAAGCUCGAGGAUCGGAGGGGAGAGUGGAAUUCUUGGUGUAGCAGUGAAAUGCGUAGAUAUCAAGAGGAACACCGGUGGCGAAGGCGACUCUCUGGACAAUUCCUGACGCUGAGGCACGAAAGCUAGGGGAGCAAACAGGAUUAGAUACCCUGGUAGUCCUAGCCGUAAACGGUGCACGCUUGCUGUGGGCGGAUUCGACCCCGUCCGUGGCGGAGCUAACGCGUUAAGCGUGCCGCCUGGGGAGUACGGUCGCAAGAUUAAAACUCAAAGAAAUUGACGGGGGCCUGCACAAGCGGUGGAGUAUGUGGCUUAAUUCGAUACUACGCGAAGAACCUUACCUGGCCUUGACAUGCUUGUGGUAAAACCCUGAAAGGGGAAUGACCUCGCAAGAGGAGCUUGCACAGGUGCUGCAUGGCUGUCGUCAGCUCGUGUCGUGAGAUGUUGGGUUAAGUCCCGCAACGAGCGCAACCCUUGUGUCCUGUUGCCACCCGAGCGUAAGCUCGGAGCACUCUGGACAGACUGCCUCGCUUAAACGAGGAGGAAGGUGGGGAUGACGUCAAGUCAGUAUGGCCCUUACGGCCAGGGCUGCACACGUACUACAAUGCCUAAUACAAUGGGACGCAAUACCGUGAGGUGGAGCAAAUCCUUAAAAUUGGGCCCAGUUCGGAUUGUAGUCUGCAACUCGACUACAUGAAGCCGGAAUCGCUAGUAAUGGGGCAUCAGCUACGGCCCCGUGAAUACGUUCCCAGGCCUUGUACACACCGC
Molecule: ribosomal RNA, 1354 nt
Filed under: uncultured prokaryote
Description: partial 16S ribosomal RNA
Rfam family: Bacterial small subunit ribosomal RNA
Source: RNAcentral